Dermacentor albipictus is the source of this 603-nucleotide long non-coding RNA. RefSeq lists it as uncharacterized. Lineage: Eukaryota; Metazoa; Arthropoda; Arachnida; Ixodida; Ixodidae. The record is from RefSeq and is a predicted model, not a curated record.
AGAGACAGUAAAGGCGCUGCCAUUGGGCUAUUCAGCAGGAACUUCUUGAGCAUAAAAGAGGGUCAUACGGUCUUCUCUCUCAGUUUUCUGGACCUUCUAUCGCAGGACACUUCUCUGAGAAAUAGAAUAUUUGGAAGAAGAAUAAGACGGCUAACUAUGAAGCAUUCACUGCUUAUCAUCGUAAUUAUAAUGCACGUUGCACUUUUUGUCUGUGGCAAUGCGGCAACGUGCACAGUUCGUGUGAACGCAAAUGAUUGUUCGUACAAAGGUCAAACAAUUUACCGUGGCCAAUCAAAGUACUUCCCAGAAGAGUGCGUUUACGCAUCCUGUAGUUUCCGUGAUGACACAGUCAAGCUCAGUGGGUGCAAGCCAACUUAUAGCAAAUACGGCACUGGCUCGGCCCUGGACCAGUGCUGUUCAAGUUGCCCCUAAACAUGUUAACUUCCUCCACCGCUUUUCCUGACCAGCGGAACAUCGACUGAUUUCUGAAGAAAAUAUGGUGGCCUGGGAAUUUCCAUUCUCUGUUGACAAGGAGUGAUACCAUACAUUUUUACAUAUAAUAAAGUUUUUGAUCUUCUCAUUAAAUGAUUCUUUAAGUACGUA